This is a non-coding RNA of Trichonephila inaurata madagascariensis, 72 nucleotides long. The record is from the annotation of a GenBank genome assembly. NCBI's taxonomy places the organism in Eukaryota, Metazoa, Arthropoda, Arachnida, Araneae, Nephilidae.
GGGUGUAUCGCUCAGUGGUAGAGCAUUCGACUGCGGAUCGAGAUAACCCCGGCUCAAAACCGGGUUUCCUCU